RNAcentral lists this ribosomal RNA (1372 nucleotides) under uncultured bacterium. RNAcentral's name for it is "partial 16S ribosomal RNA". It matches the Rfam family "Bacterial small subunit ribosomal RNA", at positions 30 to 1382 of the family's 1533-position model. The record is from RNAcentral.
CGAACGUUGGCGGCGUGCCUAACACAUGCAAGUCGUGGGGCAGCAGGCUACUGUCUUUUGGCAGUAGUGCUGGCGACCGGCAAACGGGUGAGUAACACGUAGCUUACCUACCCAUAGGUUGGGGAUAACAUCCCGAAAGGGGUGCUAAUACCCAAUAAUGAGGAGACUCCAAAGCCCUUAUGGGCGCCUAUGGAUGGGGAUGCGUCCCAUCAGCUAGUUGGUGAGGUAAUGGCUCACCAAGGCUACGACGGGUAACCGGUCUGAGAGGAUGACCGGUCACAGUGGGACUGAGACACGGCCCGCACCCCUACGGGGGGCAGCAGUGGGGAAUAUUGGGCAAUGGCGAAAGCCUGACCCAGCGACGCCGCGUGGGAGAAGAAGGCCUUCGGGUCGUAAACCCCUGUUCUGGGGGAAGAACCCUGGCUGGGUUAAGAGCCCAGUCAGGCUGACGGUACCCCAGGAGAAAGCCACGGCUAACUGCGUGCCAGCAGCCGCGGUAAUACGCAGGUGGCGAGCGUUGCCCGGAAUUACUGGGCGUAAAGGGUGCGUAGGCGGCCGGACAAGUCGUAGGUUAAAGCCCGGGGCUCAACCCCGGAAAGGCCUACGAUACUGUCUGGCUUGAGGGCUGGAGAGGCUGGCGGAAUUCCCGGUGUAGGGGUGAAAUCCGUAGAUAUCGGGAGGAAACACCGGAGGGGAAGCCGGCCAGCUGGACAGCUCCUGACGCUGAGGCACGAAAGCGUGGGGAGCAAACCGGAUUAGAUACCCGGGUAGUCCACGCCGUAAACGAUGGGUGCUAGGUCUGGGGAGGUAAUCUCUCUGGGCCGAAGCUAACGCGUUAAGCACCCCGCCUGGGGAGUACGGCCGCAAGGCUGAAACUCAAAGGAAUUGACGGGGGCCCGCACAAGCGGUGGAGCACGUGGUUUAACUCGAUGCAAAGCGAAGAACCUUACCCGGGCUUGACAUGCCAGGGUUGUACCCCGGUGGAAACACUGGGGAGCGUGGGGUUUUCUCACGCGCUCUGGCACAGGUGCUGCAUGGCUGUCGUCAGCUCGUGUCGUGAGAUGUUGGGUUAAGUCCCGCAACGGGCGCAACCCCUGCCCUUAGUUGCUACCGGGUAAAGCCGGGCACUCUAAGGGGACUGCCGGGGAUAACCCGGAGGAAGGAGGGGAUGACGUCAAGUCCUCAUGGCCCUUAUGCCCGGGGCUACACACGUGCUACAAUGGGGGGUACAGAGGGUUGCGAACCCGCAAGGGGGAGCUAAUCCCAGAAAGCCCUCCUCAGUUCGGAUCGGGGUCUGCAACUCGACCCCGUGAAGCCGGAAUCGCUAGUAAUGGCGGAUCAGCAUGCCGCCGUGAAUACGUUCCCGGGCCUU